Long non-coding RNA from Capsicum annuum, 708 nucleotides. RefSeq lists it as uncharacterized. The record is from RefSeq and is a predicted model, not a curated record. The transcript has 2 exons. Lineage: Eukaryota; Viridiplantae; Streptophyta; Magnoliopsida; Solanales; Solanaceae.
AAAUAGAAAAAGAAAAAGAAGAUGUGUAUGAUAAACUUUACUAAUUACUGUAUGUUUUUUUGGUUUAAUUUUCAAAUUUUCUCAUUUAUUGAUUAAUAAAGAUUACAUAGUCCUUGCAAAUAUGGGUCAGCCCACUACCGAAAUCUGGAAAUUAAAACAAAAAGAAUGACCCGGCCCACUCCACUUGGGAUUAUUACAUAUAGCUUAAGUUUUGGGUUUUCUAAUCCGAUUCCACCCUUCCCACUCCUCUUAUCUGGUUUAGGAUGUCACCGCCGGUCAUCUUCAAUGCUCAAUUCAUCCCCCUUCAACUCUGGGUUAUUAACACCUUGCCAUUUCAGCUUCAUCUCUGUGUAUUUAUCAGCUUAUAGACAUGCAGAUGGGAUGAAGCUUGUGGGAUGCUUGGACCCGCUAGUAUUCAACCAAUAACCCGACUCUAGGUUAUGCAAAACCAUGCCGUAGAGACCCUUUUCUGUUGCUCUGAAUCCACUAUGUAGGCUUCUGUAGAAUAGGCUAAUUGACUUAACCUUAACACUGAUUUUAUAGCCUUUCAUGACUUGUAAUUAUACUGUAUGUUCAGCUCAAUUCAGUAGCCUAGUCACCCUCUUACCUCUGCGGUGGUGACAAUCUUAAAUAUGGUAAUUAUGUUUUAUGAUUGUUAAUGAUUUUCUUCCCUGUUGUUUGAAUCUGAUGGAAAUGUGUGAAUGUGAA